CGGAUUUACUGGGCGUAAAGCGUGUGUAGGCGGCGUGACAAGUUGGGCGUGAAAGCCCCGUGCUCAACGCGGGGAGGCCGCACAAUACUGUCAGGCUAGAGGGCAUCAGAGGGGUGUGGAAUUCCCGGAGUAGCGGUAAAAUGCGCAGAUAUCGGGAGGAACACCGGUGGCGAAAGCGGCACCCUGGGGUGCACCUGACGCUGAGAGACGACAGCUAGGGGAGCGAACAGGAUUAGAGACCCUGGUAGUCCUAGCCGUAAACGAUGGAUGCUAGGUGUGGGAGUGAAGAACUUCUGUGCCGCAGCGAACGCGAUAAGCAUCCCGCCUGGGGAGUACGGCCGCAAGGUUAAAACUCAAACGAAUUGACGGGGACCCGCACAAGCAGCGGAGCGUGUGGUUUAAUUCGAUGCUACACGAAGAACCUUACCUGGGAUUGACAUAUGGGUGGUAGUGAGCCGAAAGGCAAGCGACCCUUCGGGGAGCCUAUACAGGUGCUGCAUGGCUGUCGUCAGCUCGUGCCGUGAGGUGUCGGGUUAAGUCCCGUAACGAGCGCAACCCCUGUCCUUAGUUACAAGUGUCUAAGGGGACUGCCGGCGGGAAGCCGGAGGAAGGUGGGGAUGACGUCAAGUCAGCAUGGCCCUUAUAUCCAGGGCGACACACACGCUACAAUGGUCGGUACAGAGGGCAGCGAAGCCGCGAGGUGGAGCGAAACCCAGAAAGCCGGUCGUAGUUCGGAUUGCAGGCUGCAACUCGCCUGCAUGAAG
This 764-nucleotide ribosomal RNA is filed under the name uncultured organism. Its description in RNAcentral is "bacterial SSU rRNA". It matches the Rfam family "Bacterial small subunit ribosomal RNA", at positions 546 to 1325 of the family's 1533-position model. The record is from RNAcentral.